UAGAGCCUACGGGGGGCAGCAGUGAGGAAUAUUGGUCAAUGGGCGAGAGCCUGAACCAGCCAAGUCGCGUGAGGGAAGACUGCCCUAUGGGUUGUAAACCUCUUUUGUCAGGGAGCAAUUGGCGCUACGUGUAGCGUUAUCGAGAGUACCUGAAGAAAAAGCAUCGGCUAACUCCGUGCCAGCAGCCGCGGUAAUACGGAGGAUGCGAGCGUUAUCCGGAUUUAUUGGGUUUAAAGGGUGCGUAGGCGGAAUGCCAAGUCAGCGGUAAAAUCGCGGGGCCCAACCUCGCUCCGCCGUUGAAACUG
Molecule: ribosomal RNA, 305 nt
Filed under: uncultured bacterium
Lineage: Bacteria
Description: bacterial SSU rRNA
Rfam family: Bacterial small subunit ribosomal RNA
Source: RNAcentral